Molecule: ribosomal RNA, 1393 nt
Filed under: Pediococcus acidilactici
Lineage: Bacteria; Bacillati; Bacillota; Bacilli; Lactobacillales; Lactobacillaceae
Description: bacterial SSU rRNA
Rfam family: Bacterial small subunit ribosomal RNA
Source: RNAcentral
UGAGAUUUUAACACGAAGUGAGUGGCGGACGGGUGAGUAACACGUGGGUAACCUGCCCAGAAGCAGGGGAUAACACCUGGAAACAGAUGCUAAUACCGUAUAACAGAGAAAACCGCCUGGUUUUCUUUUAAAAGAUGGCUCUGCUAUCACUUCUGGAUGGACCCGCGGCGCAUUAGCUAGUUGGUGAGGUAACGGCUCACCAAGGCGAUGAUGCGUAGCCGACCUGAGAGGGUAAUCGGCCACAUUGGGACUGAGACACGGCCCAGACUCCUACGGGAGGCAGCAGUAGGGAAUCUUCCACAAUGGACGCAAGUCUGAUGGAGCAACGCCGCGUGAGUGAAGAAGGGUUUCGGCUCGUAAAGCUCUGUUGUUAAAGAAGAACGUGGGUGAGAGUAACUGUUCACCCAGUGACGGUAUUUAACCAGAAAGCCACGGCUAACUACGUGCCAGCAGCCGCGGUAAUACGUAGGUGGCAAGCGUUAUCCGGAUUUAUUGGGCGUAAAGCGAGCGCAGGCGGUCUUUUAAGUCUAAUGUGAAAGCCUUCGGCUCAACCGAAGAAGUGCAUUGGAAACUGGGAGACUUGAGUGCAGAAGAGGACAGUGGAACUCCAUGUGUAGCGGUGAAAUGCGUAGAUAUAUGGAAGAACACCAGUGGCGAAGGCGGCUGUCUGGUCUGUAACUGACGCUGAGGCUCGAAAGCAUGGGUAGCGAACAGGAUUAGAUACCCUGGUAGUCCAUGCCGUAAACGAUGAUUACUAAGUGUUGGAGGGUUUCCGCCCUUCAGUGCUGCAGCUAACGCAUUAAGUAAUCCGCCUGGGGAGUACGACCGCAAGGUUGAAACUCAAAAGAAUUGACGGGGGCCCGCACAAGCGGUGGAGCAUGUGGUUUAAUUCGAAGCUACGCGAAGAACCUUACCAGGUCUUGACAUCUUCUGCCAACCUAAGAGAUUAGGCGUUCCCUUCGGGGACAGAAUGACAGGUGGUGCAUGGUUGUCGUCAGCUCGUGUCGUGAGAUGUUGGGUUAAGUCCCGCAACGAGCGCAACCCUUAUUACUAGUUGCCAGCAUUCAGUUGGGCACUCUAGUGAGACUGCCGGUGACAAACCGGAGGAAGGUGGGGACGACGUCAAAUCAUCAUGCCCCUUAUGACCUGGGCUACACACGUGCUACAAUGGAUGGUACAACGAGUUGCGAAACCGCGAGGUUUAGCUAAUCUCUUAAAACCAUUCUCAGUUCGGACUGUAGGCUGCAACUCGCCUACACGAAGUCGGAAUCGCUAGUAAUCGCGGAUCAGCAUGCCGCGGUGAAUACGUUCCCGGGCCUUGUACACACCGCCCGUCACACCAUGNGAGUUUGUAACACCCAAAGCCGGUGGGGUAACCUUUUAGGAGCUAGCC